This 535-nucleotide ribosomal RNA is filed under the name Frankia sp. 1F. RNAcentral describes it as "bacterial SSU rRNA". It matches the Rfam family "Bacterial small subunit ribosomal RNA", at positions 327 to 873 of the family's 1533-position model. Lineage: Bacteria; Bacillati; Actinomycetota; Actinomycetes; Frankiales; Frankiaceae. The record is from RNAcentral.
CUUGCGACCGUACUCCCCAGGAAUCGGGAAUAUUGGUACAAUGGGNGCAACCUGAUCCAGCCAUGCCGCGUGAGUGAUGAAGGCCCUAGGGUUGUAAAGCUCUUUACGCGGUGAAGAUAAUGACGGUACCGAGAAGAAGCCCCGGAAACUUCUGCAGCAGCGCGGAAUACGAGGGGGCUAGCGUUGUUCGGAUUUACCUGGGCGUAAGCGCACGUAGGCGGGAUUNAGAGUNCGGGGUGAAAUCCCUGGGCUCAACCCUGGAANCUGCCUUAUACUGUAUCUUAUAUGAUAUAGGCGACUGGAAUGCGUGUGUCGAGGUGAAAUNCUAGAUAUUUCGCAGGAACACAUUGGCAUAAGGUGGAAACUGGAUCCAUUAUGACGCUUAAUGCUAGCUGACGCUGCAACGGAAUGCGAUACCUGGAGCCCCACCCGUUACCCUUGGAAUUUUAGCCCCUCCGGGGAGUAUAAUACUUUCGUGGGCCGAGUACCGCCUAAAUUUCCCCCAGGAAGACGUCCCCUUUUGAAAAAAAGAAAU